AACAAAUAAAUCUAUACAAGACAUUUUAAUCUGCUUUCAAAAGUUUGACUAUAGUACUGGUUUUUACUUACAGGAAACAUUUUAAUCUCCCCCGACAACCUAAAGCGGAAAAGAAAAAAGAUAAAGGGUUGCAAUAGGUAUCUUAACACCAAGAAGUAAAGAAAUAAAUGUUUCAAGUCAAGCUAAAUUUAUCCAUUUUUCUACUCAAAAUACCAAGAGUUUGUUUUAAUCAGCAUCUUUACUCCAACUAAUUUGCAUGACCAUAAAUAAAUGAACCAUGAAUGAAUCUAAAUAUGCCUUGGGCAGGUAUGCCACAGGUAGUUAUGCAUCAUAUUUAAAUAUGAAUGCGAAAAGGAUAAAUUGAUUUAAAAGCCACUGAGUCACUGACACAUACUUCAAGAGAAUGACACUCAUGCCUCAUUGUAGCAUAAGUUAAGAAUUUAUAACAGGAAGUAAAAAGUCAAUGACCAGAAGCCAACUGCAUGAACUAAGAAAGUAAAAUUGAUGAUAAAAUUUCAUGAGAAAGGAUAUUCCUUCUUCCGGCCCAAAUCACUG
Molecule: unclassified non-coding RNA, 555 nt
Filed under: Hevea brasiliensis (rubber tree)
Lineage: Eukaryota; Viridiplantae; Streptophyta; Magnoliopsida; Malpighiales; Euphorbiaceae
Source: RNAcentral